ACUCUAUAAAAUUAAGACAACUAUUCUACAUGACUACAAAAUAAGUAAAUUUAAAUAACUGUAGAUAAAGAAACUAUAAUUUGUACACUUAUGUAGACUAUUUCUUUUUUCUAUGCAAUUUAAUCUUCUCAUUCAAAGCGAGAGCACCCUUCUUCCUGGCUAACCUGCCUGUAACCUCACUUAUGUGGUGCAAAAUAAUGUCUAUUCUACACAAAAUAAAAAUUAUUUUACAUUAGUGAACUGUAUAAAAAAGAAGCAUUAAUCUACAUAAUACCUACAUAAUUCUUCAAAAAAAAGUAAGAACUACAGAAUGAUUACAAAAUAAAAAUAUUUAUAAAAAUGUAGAAAAUAACAACUACAAUUAAACUACAAAAUUAAGACAACUAAUCGACAUGGCUACAAAAUAACUACAUUUAUAAAGGGAAACUUACAGAAAUAUCACAUAUAAGUUUCAACUUACCAACCUCUAGCCAAUAUUUUAAAAAUUGAAACAAACAAGGAAAUUUUUAAAUGGGUAUAGUCGAAAUUUAUUGAAAACAUAUAGAUAAGUCAAUAUACAAAAUUUGAGAAAAAUUGAGGUGAUUUGGACUUAGUUUUGUUCAAAAUUCAUAAUUAAAUCGAUGUCAAAAAAUUCUUUUGUGAAACAUAUAUCAAACAUGUAUCACUCAUUAAUCUCACACACAGAUAUACAUGUGAUACACAAUAGAUACAAAUAUGAUACAUAUGUGAUACAUAGUGUGAUACACGUAUCAUAUUUUUUCAUAUUCAGUUUUUACUUUGAAUUUUCAAUUCAAACCACCUCAAAACUUCACCAAAUCAUCCCAAAACUGAGAUUCAAGCUCCUUAUGAUAUACCCAAUUUAUUCUAAUAGCAACACUCAAAAGAAAGUAAAAAUUUAAUAUUUUUUUGCUACAAAUAGCUAAUUGGCCAUUUUGACUAAUAUUAGUAAUAUUUUAUCAAUUGAUCAAUUUUUAUAAUGAGCUACUUCUAAAUGAACAUAGUUAGUAAUUUUUUAUUUAUAAACUGUGUUCAAGACAGAUAAUUUCGUUAUCUACAUUAGAAAGGCCAGCGAAUCUUAAUUUUUUUCAUGCGGCCGUACAUACAAAAUUAUAAAGAAGAAUUAAAAAUACAUAAAUUAGUAAUAUUUAUGAGCGUACAAAAUUACCAGAAUAUUCAAUUCAAGUAGUCAGUUUGAGAUCUUAGUGCAAAAGAUUCUCGUCCUUUACUAGCUACAGAACAACACCAAUUGACACCAUUUCAGGACAUCUUGAUCAGCAAAAAACUAUGAAAUCUGUCCUUUUUCUCUAUUGAUACAAACACAUGCUAAUUGAAUAGAUUUUUCCUUCCGUGGUUUUGUAGCAAACUACGUUUUCCAGUUUCUUUUCACCAUAUUGCUCUUAGCAUCUUUGUGUAACUCCAUAUUGCAACCAAGAUGAGGAGAAAGAGCAAAGAGAUAAUCUACAAUUUGGCUAAAUAUUGCAUUGGAUUUUGGUAGAAUUGUAACGUGAAAAUGAAGAAUGUGGGUAUAACUUGUUCUGUAAAGAAGAAGAGUGAAGCUAAACAAGGGGAAGUUACAGUAAAGGGUAAA
Molecule: long non-coding RNA, 1588 nt
Filed under: Nicotiana benthamiana
Lineage: Eukaryota; Viridiplantae; Streptophyta; Magnoliopsida; Solanales; Solanaceae
Description: long non-coding RNA (NBEN_LNC027230)
Source: RNAcentral